RNAcentral lists this ribosomal RNA (497 nucleotides) under uncultured bacterium. RNAcentral's name for it is "partial 16S ribosomal RNA". It matches the Rfam family "Bacterial small subunit ribosomal RNA", at positions 28 to 507 of the family's 1533-position model. The record is from RNAcentral.
GAUGAACGCUGGCGGCGUGCCUAAUACAUGCAAGUCGAGCGAACGGACGAGAAGCUUGCUUCUCUGAUGUUAGCGGCGGACGGGUGAGUAACACGUGGAUAACCUACCUAUAAGACUGGGAUAACUUCGGGAAACCGUAGCUAAUACCGGAUAAUAUUUUGAACCGCAUGGUUCAAAAGUGAAAGACGGUCUUGCUGUCACUUAUAGAUGGAUCCGCGCUGCAUUAGCUAGUUGGUAAGGUAACGGCUUACCAAGGCAACGAUGCAUAGCCGACCUGAGAGGGUGAUCGGCCACACUGGAACUGAGACACGGUCCAGAGUACUACGGGAGGCAGCAGUAGGGAAUCGGCCGCAAUGGGCGAAAGCCUGACGGAGCAACGCCGCGUGAGUGAUGACGGUCUUCGGAUCGUAAAACUCUGUUAUUAGGGAAGAACAUAUGUGUAAGUAACUGUGCACAGAUUGACGGUACCUAAUCAGAAAGCCACGGCUAACUACGUG